This 253-nucleotide ribosomal RNA is filed under the name uncultured bacterium. RNAcentral describes it as "partial 16S ribosomal RNA". It matches the Rfam family "Bacterial small subunit ribosomal RNA", at positions 524 to 776 of the family's 1533-position model. The record is from RNAcentral.
UACGUAGGGGGCAAGCGUUGUCCGGAUUUAUUGGGCGUAAAGAGCGUGUAGGCGGCCUGACAGGUCUGCUGUGAAAACUCGAGGCUCAACCUCGAGAUGUCGGCGGAAACCGUCUGGCUAGAGUCCGGAAGAGGAGAGUGGAAUUCCUGGUGUAGCGGUGAAAUGCGCAGAUAUCAGGAAGAACACCCGUGGCGAAGGCGGCUCUCUGGAACGCAACUGACGCUGAGACGCGAAAGCGUGGGGAGCAAACAGG